CCGGAGGAAGUGGGGAUGACGUCAAGUCCUCAUGGCCUUUAUGACCAGGGCUACACACGUACUACAAUGGCCGGUACAAAGGGCAGCGACACAGCGAUGUGAAGCCAAUCCCGAAAAGCCGGUCUCAGUCCGGAUUGGAGUCUGCAACUCGACUCCAUGAAGUUGGAAUCGCUAGUAAUCGCGGAUCAGCACGCCCGCGGUCCGAAUACGUUCCGGCCUU
This 220-nucleotide ribosomal RNA is filed under the name uncultured Desulfocapsa sp. Its description in RNAcentral is "partial 16S ribosomal RNA". It matches the Rfam family "Bacterial small subunit ribosomal RNA", at positions 1163 to 1374 of the family's 1533-position model. The record is from RNAcentral. Lineage: Bacteria; Pseudomonadati; Thermodesulfobacteriota; Desulfobulbia; Desulfobulbales; Desulfocapsaceae.